Molecule: ribosomal RNA, 621 nt
Filed under: uncultured bacterium
Lineage: Bacteria
Description: bacterial SSU rRNA
Rfam family: Bacterial small subunit ribosomal RNA (bases 1-522)
Source: RNAcentral
CCUACGGGAGGCAGCAGUGGGGAAUAUUGCGCAAUGGGCGAAAGCCUGACGCAGCAACGCCGCGUGGGGGAUGAAGGCCUUCGGGUUGUAAACCUCUUUCAGCAGGGAAGAAGCGAAAGUGACGGUACCUGCAGAAGAAGCACCGGCUAACUACGUGCCAGCAGCCGCGGUAAUACGUAGGGUGCAAGCGUUGUCCGGAUUUAUUGGGCGUAAAGAGCUCGUAGGCGGUUAGUCACGUCGGAUGUGAAAUCCCGGAGCUUAACUCCGGGCCUGCAUUCGAUACGGGCUGACUCGAGUGUUGUAGGGGAGACUGGAACUCCUGGUGUAGCGGUGAAAUGCGCAGAUAUCAGGAAGAACACCGGUGGCGAAGGCGGGUCUCUGGGCAACGUACUGACGCUGAGGAGCGAAAGCGUGGGGAGCAAACAGGAUUAGACACCCUGGUAGUCCACGCCGUAAACGGUGGGCGCUAGGUGUGGGGAACAUUCCACGUUCUCUGCGCCGCNGCUACGCAUAGCGCCCGCCGUCGGGAGGUACGGCCGCGAACGGACGUAAACGUUAAACGGUAAAGUUAAGUACGGUACGUUGAGUACGUUGCCGAACGGACGACGACGAGGGAGGAGG